Solanum dulcamara is the source of this 919-nucleotide long non-coding RNA. RefSeq lists it as uncharacterized. The record is from RefSeq and is a predicted model, not a curated record. Lineage: Eukaryota; Viridiplantae; Streptophyta; Magnoliopsida; Solanales; Solanaceae. The transcript has 3 exons.
GAUAACCUGUGUUGCACACAUGCUUCUCCUUCUCCAUUGCCAUUAUUGUCCAGUGAGUUUGGGAUUCAUCUGAGUUCCCUUAACAACUUGAAUGCAAGUGAUGGUUCAUUCAAGCUCUCAGGAUAUAUUUCAGGUCCUGAUGUUACACAGUGGAAGAUACACCUGUGAAUUAUGAGAUCAGGAAAAAGAGUACAGGGCCCUGAGUUGCAAAGCAACACUUGAACUUCCUUCCCCGUAGCCAAAGAAACUGACUGGAGAGUGCACUGUCAGGAGAGAGAUUUGCUAUGCACAGAAUUUCUGCCGGGAAGUGCUUUCGAAAAGCAUGAUCCUGAAUCCAGAUUCCUCUGUCAGAUCGAAAGUUCAAGUCAGUCAAUUGAUUGCUUUCUUGCUCAUUGCACAGUCGGUGUGAACUAGAAAUCCAGAAACUCGCGCACCCCCUUUCAUCUAAUGUUUUUACCUACAGAGGAUGAUUUUCUGGACAACAAAUUCAGUGCUUCAGCUAGCUCCAGUUAUAAAUCAGACUGCCUGUUAGGUUCCGGAUGGGAGAAGUCUUAAACAAUUGUAGCUGGCAGAUCAACAGAGGAGGCCUCAUUUAGGGAGUCUCUUGAACUUGAUAACAGUUCAAAUGUGAUGCAUGAGGGAAGGAAACCAUUUAUGCGGAGCUGUUCUUUGCCGGGGGUCUUUCGGAAACAGCCUUUCUACCUCCUCGAGGUAGUGGUCUUAAAUCAUAGGUCUCCUAGAGGCAAGGAAAUAUAUUUGGAGAAGUUCUCCAUGUGCAAAACUCAGAGCAAGGCACUGCAGAGGUCAAAAUUUCUGUCGGGAGAUUCAGAAAAGUCUUUAUUAACCAAGGACAUUCUAGAUUAAUACGAUCAUCUUAUGGACUUCUUUAAACAGACUGCUGCAAAUUAUGAUUCUGACC